UACGUAGGGUGCGAGCGUUAAUCGGAAUUACUGGGCGUAAAGCGUGCGCAGGCGGUUCGUUAAGUCAGAUGUGAAAGCCCCGGGCUCAACCUGGGAACUGCAUUUGAGACUGCGUAGCUAGGGUGCGGAAGAGGGAAGCGGAAUUUCCGGUGUAGCGGUGAAAUGCGUAGAUAUCGGAAGGAACACCAGUGGCGAAAGCGGCUUCCUGGUCCAGCACCGACGUUCAGGCACGAAAGCGUGGGGAGCAAACAGG
This 253-nucleotide ribosomal RNA is filed under the name uncultured bacterium. RNAcentral describes it as "partial 16S ribosomal RNA". It matches the Rfam family "Bacterial small subunit ribosomal RNA", at positions 524 to 776 of the family's 1533-position model. The record is from RNAcentral.